RNAcentral lists this ribosomal RNA (253 nucleotides) under uncultured bacterium. Its description in RNAcentral is "partial 16S ribosomal RNA". It matches the Rfam family "Bacterial small subunit ribosomal RNA", at positions 524 to 776 of the family's 1533-position model. The record is from RNAcentral.
UACAGAGGUCCCAAGCGUUGUUCGGAUUCAUUGGGCGUAAAGGGUGUGUAGGUGGCGCCGUAAGUCGGGUGUGAAAUCUCGGGGCUUAACUCCGAAACUGCAUUCGAUACUGCGGUGCUUGAGGACUGGAGAGGAGACUGGAAUUCAUGGUGUAGCAGUGAAAUGCGUAGAGAUCAUGAGGAAGACCAGUGGCGAAGGCGGGUCUCUGGACAGUUCCUGACACUGAGACACGAAGGCCAGGGUAGCAAACGGG